AUUGAACGCUGGCGGCAUGCCUUACACAUGCAAGUCGAACGGUAACAGGUUAAGCUGACGAGUGGCGAACGGGUGAGUAAUGUAUCGGAACGUGCCCAGUCGUGGGGGAUAACUGCUCGAAAGAGCAGCUAAUACCGCAUACGACCUGAGGGGGAAAGCGGGGGAUCGCAAGACCUCGCGCGAUUGGAGCGGCCGAUAUCAGAUUAGGUAGUUGGUGAGGUAAAGGCUCACCAAGCCGACGAUCUGUAGCUGGUCUGAGAGGACGACCAGCCACACUGGGGCUGAGACACGGCCCAGACUCCUACGGGAGGCAGCAGUGGGGAAUUUUGGACAAUGGGCGCAAGCCUGAUCCAGCCAUGCCGCGUGCGGGAAGAAGGCCUUCGGGUUGUAAACCGCUUUUGUCAGGGAAGAAAAGGUUCUGGCUAAUACCUGGGACUCAUGACGGUACCUGAAGAAUAAGCACCGGCUAACUACGUG
This 477-nucleotide ribosomal RNA is filed under the name uncultured bacterium. RNAcentral describes it as "partial 16S ribosomal RNA". It matches the Rfam family "Bacterial small subunit ribosomal RNA", at positions 30 to 507 of the family's 1533-position model. The record is from RNAcentral.